This 1895-nucleotide unclassified non-coding RNA is filed under the name Hevea brasiliensis (rubber tree). The record is from RNAcentral. Lineage: Eukaryota; Viridiplantae; Streptophyta; Magnoliopsida; Malpighiales; Euphorbiaceae.
GGUUAAUAUCUCGCAUCCACCAUCGCUACGGUGAGGAGGCUCCCACAUGAAAGUCAAUGCAACCUAAGAAAUCUGCAGUAAGUUCUUUCCAUUGCCCUGGAAGCCACCAGUCAAUCAAAUAAAGAAACCCCCUCAUCGCAAUCCCCAAUUGAUCCAAAAAUUGAACGCCCAAAUGGCCCAAAUCCAAAGACCCAAAAGCUUUCUUGAUUCUUUAGGAGAAGAAAUAAUCAGAAUCAUAACACCAGUAUCAAUCUGCAUGUUCAUUGUGGUGAUUCUAGUCUCAAUUCUCAACACAGACUCCUCAUCGGCAUCAACAACAAUAAACAACAUAGCUACCAUGGCUUACACUGAGACAACCUCCGACUCCUUCUGGGAUAAGCUCAAAGGUGCCCUUUUGAAUUCUCUUGUGUUUGUGGCUAUUGUCACUGUUGUUACUUUUGUUCUGGUGCUUCUUUUUUACCUUAGAUGCACUCAGUUCUUGAAACUAUACAUGGGUUUCUCUUCUUUUAUUGUUUUGGGAUUCAUGGGUGGUGAAAUUGCCUUGUUCUUGAUAAGAGAUUUUAGUGUUCCUAUCGAUUGUUUCACGUUUUUGGUGGUUUUGUUCAACUUUGCUGCUGUGGGUGUAUUGGCUGUGUUCAUGUCAAAAAUGGCUAUAUUUGUGACACAGGCUUAUUUGGUUGUCAUUGGGGUUUUGGUUGCUUAUUGGUUUACUCUUUUGCCUGAAUGGACUACUUGGGCACUAUUGGUUGCCAUGGCAUUGUAUGAUCUUGCUGCUGUUUUAUUGCCUAUUGGGCCAUUGAGGCUCUUGGUAGAGCUUGCAAUAUCUAGGGAUGAAGAUAUCCCUGCAUUGGUUUAUGAGGCUCGGCCUGUGACUAAUCAUCAUUCAGGCUCUAGGGAUGGUGUAGCUCAAAGGAGGCUGUGGAGAGAAAGGAGAAAUGUGGGAAAUGAUUCUGAAGAGAAUUUGAAUUCUGAAUCUAGUUUGGAUUCGAACUUGACUAAUGGUACAGUUGAUGGUGGUCAUCACACUACAAGAUUAGCUAGAGCUGAAGAAGGGCAACUUCUGGAAAGGGAUGCCGAGCUUUCAGCACCAUUAAUUGAUCGUAGGAGUAGUGUUCAGGUUCAUGGACAGGGAGAUGCUGUAUCAAGCGAAAGUUUGCUGCUAGAGGGCAUUGGGUUGGGGUCAACCGGUGCCAUCAAGCUCGGGCUGGGGGACUUUAUCUUCUAUAGUGUGUUAGUUGGAAGAGCGGCAAUGUAUGACUUUAUGACUGUUUAUGCAUGUUAUCUUGCUAUAAUAGCUGGUUUGGGCAUUACGCUGAUGCUAUUGGCAUUUUAUCAGAAAGCUUUGCCAGCUCUUCCCGUUUCAGUUGCCCUAGGUGUGCUAUUCUAUUUCUUGACUAGGCUGUUACUUGAAGCUUUUGUUGUACAAUGUUCUUUGAACCUUGUGAUGUUUUAGGAAUAAGAAUAAUAAGAUAUUGCAGUUUAAUACUUUGCUGCCCAAAGAAGGUUCAGAGUUUGAAAUUCAUCAUAUAUUGUUGUAAUUUAAAUGCUUUUGCUAAGUAUUGCAUAUUUUGAAUUUAUCAUUCAUGUGAGAAUUAGUGUAAAAUGUUGUAGAAACACGAAGAAGUGAUCAACUUAAAUAAGUUAUUGCUUGUAUUGAGUCUGUGAAUCAAUCGAUUGAGGUUUGUUUUUUUAUCUUAAAGGAAUGGAUUCUUCAGGUGAAGUUAUCUAAAUAAAUAAAAAUGAGACUAUUAAUAAGCACAAAAAGACCAAUACACACCAAAAGGGCAGGGGUAAAAAGGUGAAGAGAAAACAGGUAUUUAAAGUUAGAUAUCGUAUCAGAAGGAACUCUGAAGAGCAUGCACGUGAGACAUUGUUGAAAAUUGGAAGACUGUUGA